UACGGAGGGUGCAAGCGUUAUCCGGAUUCACUGGGUUUAAAGGGUGCGUAGGUGGGCAGGUAAGUCAGUGGUGAAAUCUCCGGGCUCAACUCGGAAACUGCCAUUGAUACUAUCUGUCUUGAAUACCGUGGAGGUUAGCGGAAUAUGUCAUGUAGCGGUGAAAUGCUUAGAUAUGACAUAGAACACCAAUUGCGAAGGCAGCUGGCUACACAAAUAUUGACACUGAGGCACGAAAGCGUGGGGAUCAAACAGG
This 253-nucleotide ribosomal RNA is filed under the name uncultured bacterium. RNAcentral describes it as "partial 16S ribosomal RNA". It matches the Rfam family "Bacterial small subunit ribosomal RNA", at positions 524 to 776 of the family's 1533-position model. The record is from RNAcentral.